AGUGAAGGAUCACUGAAAGCCGACCAGACCCCUAAUGCUUUCAAUGGAGAAGUAUCUUUUGACACUGUUGAUAGCUCCAAUACCAAUGAAUUAAAGAAUCCCACCCGAGUGAAAAGAUGUCUUGCAUGGCUUUUUGGAGGAGAGUGCAACCGAAGAUCUCAGACAUCAAAUACCUAUAACAUCGGUAACGGACACCAUAACACCAAUCAUGUUGUCAUUCACGAGGCACCAAGAACGCGUAACAACGAUUAUUGGUGGUGG
Pararge aegeria (speckled wood butterfly) is the source of this 261-nucleotide long non-coding RNA. RefSeq lists it as uncharacterized. Lineage: Eukaryota; Metazoa; Arthropoda; Insecta; Lepidoptera; Nymphalidae. The record is from RefSeq and is a predicted model, not a curated record. The transcript has 3 exons.